Molecule: long non-coding RNA, 5663 nt
Filed under: Medicago truncatula (barrel medic)
Lineage: Eukaryota; Viridiplantae; Streptophyta; Magnoliopsida; Fabales; Fabaceae
Description: long non-coding RNA (MTRU_LNC001032)
Source: RNAcentral
UUGUCAGGUGUUGGAUUGGAAUGUCAUGUGCUGAUCCCCUUAAUAUUGAUGAACAUUUCAUUCAGUUCGCUCAUUCUAUAGGUCACUCACGGGCCCGUCAAUCCUUUCUACAACUUAUUUGGUUACUAUGUGUUUGGUUGGUUUGGAAUGAACGUAAUAAUAGACUCUAUAAUAAUAUCCAAACCACCAUGGAACAACUAGUAGAAAAAGUUAAAUAUCACUCUUUGUGGUGGCUAAAGGCUAAUAAGGCCAACUUUAUGUACGGUUCACAAAAAUGGUGGUCGGACCCUUUAUUAUGUUUGGGUAUCAACCGACCAGCACAUUGACUCUUCAUUGUAUGGUUGACUAUUUCUAGGGGUGGCACUUUUAGUACAUCUUGUACUUAGGUGUUUCACUGCCGUUGUUAAUAUAUCCCAUUUUUAUGUCUUCAAAAAAAAGAAUACACUUCUUCAAAAUGCAUGAAAAUUGUAAUUCUAGUCUUACUAUAUAAAAUAGAGGUUAAAAAGGUUUUACUAUCACAAAAUGAAUGUAUAAAUGAGUUUUUCCUAGAGUAAGAUGAUUUCACACAUUUGCACCAACAUAUAAAAAAAGAAGUUGAAAAAGGAAUGUGACAUUUUAAAUUGCGGUUGCAGUAGUGACUGCCAUUACGAUACAAACCUCGAUAUUAUCGAGAAAUACGGUUAAAUGUUGCCACAAUAAUAGAAUUGCAAGAAAAGAUGAUUUCUUGGGAAUAUGAAAUGUGAUCCAAGCAUAGAUUAGGACAUAUUGAGUGGAAAAAAAAUGAAAAGAUAUAAACAUUUGAUACCAUGCUUCUCCGCCUCACUUCUUUUUUUUUUUUAAUUUUUUUAUCCAACCACAAUAAAAAAAUGAAAUAAUAUAAAUUUUUAAGUUCGGGGGCAUUUUGCACAUAAGUGCAAAACUUCAGGGGGGUAUUUGCAAAAUGUCAUGUUCACUAACAUAAAAAUUUGACAGAGAGGGUAAAUUGAUUAACAUUUGCAAUUUCAGGGGGGUAAUUGAAGUUUUGUUAAUUUCAGGGGAUAAUUGACGAAACUUACAAUUUCAGGGAAGUAAUUGCCUAUUUACUCAUUUAUUAUAUUAUUAUUAUUAUUAUUGAUGAUGGUGAUGACGAUGAUGUUGUCAAACAAACAACAAAGUAUCAAAUCACAUCAAAAUUUCGCAUGACGUAUUUAGGCGAGAGUAAUAUUAAGAUAGGUGACCUCUUGAUGAGUCAUUGAGUUGCACCUCAUCACAUUUUAUUUUACUGUCUGAUGAAUAAAACUCAAUGUUUGUUAGCGAUGAAUCCUAAGAAGCAAUAACAAACUCACACUCAACAUCCUGUUUUUUAUUGAUAGAGGAGUUGAUUUCUUGUCCUCGUGAGCAUAAUUCGGUUAGUAGAGCCAUUGUAUUAUAUAUGCAAGAAGCAUAUCUCCUCCGGUGGAAAUUUCACUAGACACUCCAGUUUUAAUUUUGACCAAUAAAACUUCAUCUCUCUCUCUCUCUCUCUCUCUCUCUCUCUCUCUCUCUCACUGUGUGUGUCUGUGUGAUUCCACUGGACACUAAUGUCACUUCAGGGAAUCUAUUCACAUAGAUGCAAGGACGGAGAUUCGAAUCUCGAAUUCUCCACUUAUUCAUCUUAGAGAUAAAAUUCUUAAAAUGAUGCUAAUUGAAAAUAAAAAAAAAGGAGUUGGCAUUCCCAUUUCCUUUGGAUCAGACUACAAAUAAAUGUUUUUUUUGUUUUGUUUUGUUGUCAUUCUGCUUGUGCUAUAGGAGAGAUUGAUUGUCCUCAACUCAACUAAGGUGGAAAAUGAGUCAAGUUGAAUUCGCUACAGUUAGAGUCGAUAGAAAGUAAUUCAAUUUGUAAUAUGACUCAAAUUCGAUACGAACUUAUUUUACCUCAAUCUCGACUUAUUUUAAGUUCAUGGGCAACUUAGUAUAACUCAUUUGCUCGAAUAACAUAAUUCAAAAGUCGAUUUUAUGUAAAGAAAUGUCAAAAAUUUUAGAUCUUACUUUUUAUACUAUAUAAUUUCUUUAAAAAAAAAAUACUGAAUUAAAAUAAAAGUUAUCUAAAGUAUAAGAUGUAGAAAGAAUAGACACAAAUACAAAUUAAAUUAAAUUUUAUAUUUGCAUAAAUAAUCGGCUAAAUAUAGACAAAUAAUAUAAAAUCAUUUUUUAUCAUGGAAAGACAAAGCUAACUUAUGUUCCAAAGCCUAUGACCGGACCGGUUAGUGUUCCAAAGCUAACUUAUGUUCCAAAGAAGAAAAAACCAGCUAGUGAGACGCAAGAAGUGAUUUUAGUCAUUUUUUGGGCUUCAUUCAUAAAGAUUCCAACGGGAAUCUUGACUUACUAAUGAGUAAUGAGGAAAGUUUUGGUUUUAAAGUUUAUUUUUGUAAUAAGUUUAUUCUUGAAGUCUUCCACAACAUUUCAUUUAACUCAACCGAACUUACAGUACAAAGAAGAACAACAUGUAACGACUUUGGAACAAAUAUCUUGUCAAGUACCAUAAUAAUUCUAAAAAUUUAGAGUGAUGUGGUGCUUGAGGAUAAAACUGUUGAAGUUCUCAAACCCACGCUGUUGGACAACAUAUUCAUAAUUCAAAUGUUACUCAUAAUAUCCAUCACAUGGAACGACUUUGGAGCAACAGUCCAAAAGAAAAAAAAAUUCUAAAAAACUAGAGUGCACAAAUGUCUUUGUUAUCAAAUUACAUGAUUAAACCAUACAAGACUCAAAACAUCUAUGAAGUUGUCUGGUUAAGGAAGAAAUAAAAUUACAACGACUCAAACCAAAAUAUUACAAAACAUUCUCAAAACCAUGAUCAACUCACUCUAAACCCUCUACAUUGUCUUCAAAGCAUAGAAAAAGACUCCAAAACUUAGCUAAAAAAUCAUAUGGUGAGGUGUCAUCAAGUGCUUAUUAGGUAUUAACAAUAAAAAAUUAAAAUAUUAAAAAAUCAGGUUGGAGCAGUUGGGCCUAGUUAAGCACCCAAAUGGAGUGCUCUAUUGUGGAUUUUGUUAGAGCAUAUAUAUAGAAUUCGGCUCUUUACCUAAAUGGAUUUGCUCAUUCCUAAAGUAAAUGAUCAAAAUGUCUCUACGUAAGUUAAGUCACGUUGGUAUAAAUUUCCAAAUUUUUCACGUGACUUAAAGUCACGCUUUAUACUUGUAUUGAUUUUUGUUAUGAAUUGUUGUAAUUGGUGUAUUGUAUUGCAUAUUGAGGUAUAUUGUAUUGUUUAUGUGCUGAAUGGUAAAAAUUAAUGAGAAUGUGUUGCUGAAUCAUUGCAUGGAAACCUGGCUGUAUUGGAUUGAUGUGGUUUUAAUUCUAAGGAAUUGUGUGUAACUGAGAAGAAAUCAAAGUUAUUCUUAAAAGGCUUUUGAUAAUAAGCUUUUAAGAGGGUUUUGUGAAGCAUCGUUUUCACUUUGCAUGGACAAGAUCUUCAUUCAUACUUCAUAGAAGUUUUGUAAGGGGGGUGCCCAACUAUAAUAAAACGUGUCUUCUAAGUUAGGGGGACUAGUAAGUGUAGAAAUUAACUCUUUGGAAAGUAGUAAGUGCCCAAUUAUAAUAAAGCGGAAGAAUUUGAAAAUUUAUACGCUAUGCGUAGGGGUAUCUUGGUCAUUUACUUUAGGAAUGAGCGAAACCGUUUGGGUAAAGAGCAGAAUUCAUAUAUAUAUAUAUAUAUGAAGCUCUUAUUUUGGGUGUUUAAAUGAGUUAUCAUGUAUGCACAUUUAUUUUAUAAUUUUAUUUUAAGAGUGAUAAUAAACAAACAUUCAAUCUCUUCAAUCCAACAUUUUAAAAAGUUUGAUAAUAAUGAGUCUCACAAUUAACUCUUUAUGACUACAUCUCAAUAAAAUUUAUUUAUUUUAGUACAAUUUAUUAAGUGGUUUACAAAAAGUUAAUAGAAAGAUUAUGCUUCCAAAUCACUGUUAAAUAGGUGAAAACUUAAUUUCCUUGUGGAUGAUUUUAGAUCAUCCCAAUGAUAGUUACUUUACCUAAUAAGAGAACCAAAUUUAUUAGGCAACCCCCAUUGGAGGAUAAAAAGAAUGAGUGGUUAAUAAAUAGCAACCAACUAUUGUAUACACACUAUCUUUCCUCUCUUAUAAGAUUAAAAUAUAUUUCAUAAAUAAGUAAAUUAUCUUUUGAAAUAUAAUGAUAUAAAAUUAUUUAAUGAUAUCCAUUUAGUUAUUGUUUUAGAGGUGUUGGUUUGAGUAUUUUAUUUUAUAAGAAAAAUAUGCUUACAACAUUUCACAAUAUAUACUUUCUAGAAUACAUGUUGAAAUCUCAACAAAGAUGUGAAAUAAAUUUUCACUUGAUUUUGAAUCUCUACUACCAAAUAUAUCCUAGUUGAAUACUUAUUUGUUAUUAUUAUCAGAAUUUUUUUAUUUUUUAAUUUUAAAUAACCAUCAUACUCUUUAUAGAUCACUUUAUUGAUUAUUGAAGAUGGUCUUAUAACGUAAGCGGGAUGACGUACAUGUCUUUGGCCGUAUUAUGAAUGGAUAACAUAGACGGAGUAAAUUCAUGUACCAUAAAUUAAUACGCCCCACCUCCUACUCACAAAAUAAAGUGAAAACAUUGGAUAUGAAGAGUUGAACCAAACCAAUAAUAGUGAUUGGUGAGCCCCUCUGCACCGUACUAGGUUUUUGUUUUGGUUUGGCUUGGAAGCUUUAAAAAGAUAAGAUCAACAAAUGAUUCAUCACAGUUCAAUUCCUAGUCUGAGUCAAGGAUGAGUGAAGGCAGGAAGAAUCAACAAUACGGUUCAACUGAAUCAGCAUCAUCUCAUCAACAACCUACCAACACUGGAGAUUCCAACUCCUCUUCUAAUGGUGCAAGGAUGAUGAAGGGUUUAAAACCGACGGUACUUCCAAAAAGAGGAGCUGUGGUGAAGAGGGUUCUUGGCAUAUUUACUUCCUCCACCACCGAUGGGUUAGAUAGUUAAUUACUUACCUUAUGCUGAAAUUAUAAUUAGGUAUCAAUCAAUAACUUCCAUGUUUUCUAAUCUGUCAAAAUAAUAAUAAUUAUGUUUUGUAUCUGUGCUUGUUUACGUACGUUUAUUAUUGUAGUAUUAUUUAAUUUACUCAUGAUUCUGCCGUUGCUGUUGCCAAUUUUACAUAUGUAACUUUGUAAGUGACAAGAUUGGUGUGAAUUCUAAUUCAAAGUCACACCUAUAAACUUAAAUGUGUGGAGCAAAAAGGAAGUAAUAAUCAAUAUCAAAGUAACCUCAACAAUCAAGUGUAAGAUACAAAACCACAAACAAAAAAUAAGAGAGAAGGGAAACAAACACAUCAAAAAAAUAUGCACCCAGUUCGGUCCAAACUUAUCUACUAUCAAUGAGUUCUUUACAAAGAGAUACAAAAUAUUACAAGAAAUUAACUUCAACAAAUAAAGAACAAACUCUAAUUUCUAUUGUUUUCCUAAUAUCUCCAAUGAAUAAGACAUUCAAUGAUUUUCACUCACAAAAAAUGUUUACAAUUGUUUCAAAACCCAAAACAAACUCUCUCUCGAGAGAAUCCUCAACCCUAAAAUUAUCUCAUUUGAUUUCUCAAGUUUCUCUCUCUUGAAGCUCUACUCAAUACAUGAUGAAUGAAGCCUUAUAUAGUGCUCAGAUCCCAAGAAAUUGUGCCCCGACUUUCACUUCGUACACUAUAUUAUAUGAACAUUAUCUAAAAAUCGUAUCC